CAUUCUGCAAUUCUUGUGGCUCCAACACCAGCAGCAAGCAUAAGAGCUGUCUCAUGAUUGUUAUCAAGUACUUGUAAGUCUUCUUCUGACAACAACUCCACCAACUCCUCCACCAUCUUCAACUUUCCAGUUAAAGUGGCAAGAUGAAGUGCUGUCCUACCAGAAUCUGUAAGCUUUUUGUUUACUGCAUUUGGAUGAAAGUGAAGAAAGUCUCUCACAGCAUUUAAAUCACCGCUCUCUAUAGCUUUGUGUAAAGGACGAAAUUGAACAUAAACAUGACCCUCUGUCCCUUGAUUGACGGCUGCUUGCUGCUGCAAUUCCUCUUUCACUGGUGGCAGUUCUACUUCUUGUGGCUGUAUUUGAUCUCCUGGUGACUGUACCUCAUGCAUUUUAGCCAAAGUAUCCCAACAAAUCCUUGCUGAACCGAUUUCCUUAAUCUGGGAAAGUAUAUGCGACAUGCAUGAUAUUUGAAUAGCAUGUAAAGCUGCAGCAUUCUUCUUUAUCCAAGCCUUAUAUUCAGCUUCAGCCUCUUCUGGACUAGGAGCUUCAGUAGUUGCUUCAACGAUGUCCCAGAGGUCAUUAGCCAAUAAAUAAUUCUUCAUACAAACACUCCAAUUUGCAUAGUUCAAUCCGUCUAGUAAUUCAGGAACUGUAUUUGCUGCCAUCGUGAUCAAUCUAUCAAUUAUUUGAAAUGAUGACAAGUGAUCUUACUAUGUGCAACUCCAAUUGAGUGAUUAACCAUUUAUACAAAAUAGAAAGAGAAGGAAAAUAAAAUAAGCAAAAUGGUUUUAGCAUGGGAUCCCAAAUUCGUCUUUUCACUUUUGCUUUUUUGUAUGGCAC
RNAcentral lists this unclassified non-coding RNA (840 nucleotides) under Hevea brasiliensis (rubber tree). Lineage: Eukaryota; Viridiplantae; Streptophyta; Magnoliopsida; Malpighiales; Euphorbiaceae. The record is from RNAcentral.